GUGCAUCGAACUGCUGACGCUCCAUCCGCUUCAGUCUUUCCCCAAGUGAAUCUUUUCCUUGUGGGUUUUUGAGGUAUCCUGUUUUGCUUACCAAUGGAAUGGAAAUCGAUGGCUUUGUUAUGCGCAUCCACCUUGUCCCAAUAUGGGUGUGAGGUGGACGUGAGGCGAGCUCUGUGUUCCCAACAAGCCAGGUGUCUUAUCAUUUGGUUGUUGUGGCCCAUGGGGUCUUUGCUUGUUUUCUUGGAUACGGAAUGCUAUGUGUGGGCGUGAGGUCUUCACCUCAACUCGUCCGAACACUUUCUUUUCACUCAAAUGACUGCUGUGCCUGAAAUGAUCUUCCCGACCGAGGCCUCGUAAUGGGGCUUACCGGACGAGGGGGGAACAUGUGGGUGUCAGCAUCAAAGAGGAAAGC
RNAcentral lists this unclassified non-coding RNA (412 nucleotides) under Boronia corynophylla. RNAcentral describes it as "partial external transcribed spacer". The record is from RNAcentral. Lineage: Eukaryota; Viridiplantae; Streptophyta; Magnoliopsida; Sapindales; Rutaceae.